ACUGCACAUGAUUCCAGGGUGCCCCCCAGAAGAUUGGAAUGGCAAACCACUUCUGAGUAUUCUUCACCUGAAAAACCCUGAAAAGGCUCACCAUAAGUCAGAACUGACUUGACGUCACAUUAUUAUUCUUGUUAUCAUUAUUAUAUGCCAACUAUGAUGCUACCUAAAUGGAAAUAACUUUCAGACAGAUACUUACUCUCUGGUAACCUCCUCUUUGAGUUAGCCCUUCAUGAAUAUGUGGGACAGAUUUUGCAAAUGGUCAGGAAAUUUCAGUUAGUUCAGUUCAGGAGACCUAGAUUGCUAAUUAACACUUGCUGAUUGCGCUGCACUGUCUAUUGCCAGUUCUACUUUGAGAUUCAAUUCAAUGCACUGGUGCAAAGCCUUAAAUCACUUGGCAACAGGCUACCUGAAGGAUGAUGUUCCCCCUAUUUACAUAUCCAAACCUAUUAUCCUUAUCCGUGUUUCAGGGUCCUCCACCAAAUGAGGCAAGGCAGGUGGCUAUGAAAGAGGGCCUCUUCAGAAGUGCCUUCCAACCUGUGAAAUGCCCUCAUUGGAGAGGCUCGGCAGGCAAGUUGAGUAUGAACUUUUAGGCACUGACUGAGUCAAGGCCUUUAUUCUCCUAGGCAUUUAAAUGACUUUCUGCUCCUUCUUUUUCUUUUCUUUUUUCACUCUGCUUUCUGUUGCUACUAAUUUUAUUGUGUGAUGCAUUGUUUUUACUUUGUGGUACUUUCUAAUGCUACUGUAUUUUAAUUUUGAAACUUUUUUUAAUGUACUUGUGAACUGCCAGGAACUAGAAAGAAAGAAAGAAAGAAAGAAAGAAAGAAAGAAAGAAAGAAAGAAAGAAAGAAAGAAAGAAAGAAAGAAAGAAAGAAAGUGGUAUAGAAAGAAAGAAAGAAAGAAAGAAAGAAAGAAAGAAAGAAAGAAAGAAAGAAAGAAAGUGGUAUGCACUCGAAAUAGGACUGCUGAUUUUCUAUGCUUCCUGAUGUCUCCAGAUAAGGAGAUAAAUCUCAGGCUGAGUGGUCAGUUUGGAAGCCUGUUUACCCAGCCCAUGGAAUUUGAUGAAACCUAG
RNAcentral lists this long non-coding RNA (1069 nucleotides) under Pogona vitticeps (central bearded dragon). RNAcentral's name for it is "lncRNA (ENSPVIG00000000783.1)". The record is from RNAcentral. Lineage: Eukaryota; Metazoa; Chordata; Lepidosauria; Squamata; Agamidae.